Molecule: ribosomal RNA, 501 nt
Filed under: uncultured bacterium
Lineage: Bacteria
Description: partial 16S ribosomal RNA
Rfam family: Bacterial small subunit ribosomal RNA
Source: RNAcentral
GGUAAACGCUGGCGAUGUGCCUUACACAUGCAAGUCGAACGGCAGCACGGGUGCUUGCACCUAGUGGCGAGUGGCGAACGGGUGAGUAAUACAUCAGAACGUACCUUAUCGUGGGGGAUAACGCAGCGAAAGUUGCGCUAAUACCGCAUACGCCCUGAGGGGGAAAGCGGGGGACCGUAAGGCCUCGCGCGAUUAGAGCGGCCGAUGUCUGAUUAGCUUGUUGGUGAGGUAAAAGCUCACCAAAGCGAUGAUCAGUAGCUGGUCUGAGAGGACGAUCAGCCACACUGGGACUGAGACACGGCCCAGACUCCUACGGGAGGCAGCAGUGGGGAAUUUUGGACAAUGGGGGCAACCCUGAUCCAGCAAUGCCGCGUGAGUGAAGAAGGCCUUCGGGUUGUAAAGCUCUUUUGUCAGGGAAGAAACAGCAGCUCUAACACAGUCUGCGAAUGACGGUACCUGAAGAAUAAGCACCGGCUAACUACGUGCCAGCCGCCGCAGUAA